UAUGCGCAAGUCAGCGGUUCCCAGGAGGAUGAGCUGCUGACUGGCCGCCAAGGGUGAGAGGCCGUGGGAAGGCGAUCUGGACUGAGGCCUGGAGGAAUGUGGGAAGCACCAAGCAGGCAGGAAAGUGGGGGUGUCAGCACGGAAAGGGCCAGCAGUGGGAGAGCCUGCGGCUAGGCACCUGGGCUGCCAGCACCACUGACUUGUUGGGAGAGCAGCUGAGCAUGGAAUACUUAGCACACUCAAGUACACAUGGACCAGGCACCGAGUCUAAGAAUGUGGUCGUCAUUCCAGCCAUGAGGGAAAUGCCUGGAACAUUCUGGAAAUGCAGACCCAGUGUCCUGACAUGGGAGAGAUAAUGAAUCAACCCUAAAUUGCCCACCUCUAGGCAUCUUGAUAGAGAAUGAUCUUAUAAGGAUUCUGCAGCUUC
This is a long non-coding RNA of Octodon degus (degu), 427 nucleotides long. RefSeq lists it as uncharacterized. The transcript is spliced from 3 exons. The record is from RefSeq and is a predicted model, not a curated record. NCBI's taxonomy places the organism in Eukaryota, Metazoa, Chordata, Mammalia, Rodentia, Octodontidae.